RNAcentral lists this long non-coding RNA (9656 nucleotides) under Prunus persica (peach). RNAcentral describes it as "long non-coding RNA (PPER_LNC004658)". Lineage: Eukaryota; Viridiplantae; Streptophyta; Magnoliopsida; Rosales; Rosaceae. The record is from RNAcentral.
UCGGAUUGAGUUCAAAACUUGGGGAACAUCAUAAUAUUGUGGGAGGAGUCAUUUGGUGGGUUUUGAGUGAAAUCCAAUCUCUAGAACUAUACAAUACACCAACCACUCCAUCUGAGAACGAACUUCGUACGAACCUGAAUUGUCCAAUUUAAUGGACCUAUUGAUAUCGGAUUGGGUCCAAAACUUGGGGAUCAUCAUAAUGUUGUGGGAGGAGUCAUUUUGUGAUUUUUGAGUGAAUUCUAGUGGCUAAAACAAUACGAUACACCAACCACUCAAUUUUAGAACGAACUUCGUACGAACCUGAAUUGUCCGAUUUCAUGGUUCAAUUGAUAUCGGAUUGAGUCCAAAACUUUGUGUACAACAUAAUAUUGUGGGAGGAGUCAUUUGGUGGGUUUUUAGUGAAAUUCAACCUCUAGAACUAUAUAAUACACCAACCACUCCAUUUUAGAACGAACUUCGUACGAUCCUGAAUGGUCCAAUUUCAUGGACCAAUUGAUAUCGGAUUGAGUCCAAAACAUGGAGAUCAUCAUAAUGUUGUGGGAGGAGUCAUAUGGUGGGUUUUGAGUGAAAUCAAAUCUCUGGAACUAUACAAUACACCAACCACUCUAUUUCAAAACGAACAUCAUAUGAACCUGAAUUGUCCAAUUUCAUAGACCAAUCGAUAUCGGAUUGAGUCGAAAACUUAUGGAACAUCAUAAUAUGGUGGGAGGAGUCAUUUGUUGAGUUUUGAGUGAAAUCAUAUGCCUAAAACUGUGCAAUACACCAACCACUCUAUUUGAUAACGAACAUCGUACGAACCUGAAAUUGGCCAAUUUCCUGGACCAAUCGAUAUCGGAUUGUAUCCAAAACUUGGGGAACAUCAUAAUGUAGUGGGAGGUGGGUUUUUAGUGAAAUCCAAUCUCUAGACUAUGCAAUACACCAACCACUCCAUUUUAGAACGAACUUCGUACGAACCUGAAUUGUCUGAUUUCAUGGUCCAAUCGAUAUCGGAUUGAGUCCAAAUCUUGGGGAACGUCAUAAUAGUGUGGGAGGAGUGAUUUGGUGGGUUUUGAGUGAAACCCAACCUCUAGAACUAUAUAAUACACCAACCACUCCAUUUCAGAAGGAACUUCGUACGAACCUGAAUUGUCCAAUUUCAUGGACCAAUCGAUAUCGGAUUGAGUCUGAAACUUGGGGAACAUCAUAAUGUUCUAGGAGGAGUCAUUUGGUGGGUUUUGAGCGAAACACAAUGGCUAAAAUAAUGCAAUACACAAACCACUCUAUUUCAAAACAAACUUCGUACAAACCUGAAUCGUUCGAUUUCUGGGACCAACGAUAUCGGAUUGAUUCCAAAACUUGGUGAACGUCAUAAAAUUGUGGGAGGAGUCAUUUGUUGGGUUUUGAGUGAAAUCCAAUCUCUAGAACUGUGCAAUACACCAACAACUCCAUUUCAGAACGAACUUCGUACGAACAUGAAUUAUCCAAUUUUAUGGACCAAUCGAUAUAUGAUUGAGUCCAAAACUUGUGGAACAACAUAAUAUGGUGGGAGGAGUCAUUUGGUGGGUUUUGAGUGAAAUCCAAAAGCUAAAACUAUGCAAUACACCGACCACUCCAUUUCAUAACGAAUUUCGUACGAACCUGAAUUGUCCAAUUUCAUGGACCAAUUGAUAUCGGAUUGAGUCCAGAACUUGAGGAACAUCAUAAUAUAGUGGGAGGAGUCAUUUGGUGGGUUUUCAGUGAAAUCCAAUCUCUAGAACUACAUAACACACCAACUACUCCAUUUCAGAAUGAACUUCGUACGAACAAGAAUUUUCCAAUUUCAUGGACCAAUCGAUAUCGGAUUGAGUCCAAAACUUAGGGAACAUCAUAAUAUGGUGGGAGGAGUCAUUUGGUGAGUUUUGAGUGAAAUCCAGAAGCUAAAACAAUGCAAUACACCAACCACUCCAUUUCAUAAUGAAUUUCGUACGAACCUGAAUUGUCCAAUUUCGUGGAACAAUCGAUAUCAGAUUCAGUCCAAAAGUUAGGGAACAUCAUAAUGUGGUGGGAGGAGUCAUUUCUUCAGUCGAGUGAAAUCUAAUGGCUAAAACUAUGCAAUACACCAACCACUCCAUUUCAGAACGAACUUCGUACGAACCUGAAUUGUCCAAUUCCAAGGACCAAUCGAUAUCGGAUUGAGCCCAAAACUUCUGGGACAUCAUAAUAUGGUGGGAGGAGUCAUUUGGUGAGUUUCGACUGAACUCCAAUGGCGAAAACUAUGCAUUACACCAAACACUCCAUUUCAUAACGAACUUCGUACGAACCUUAAUUGUUCGAUUUCAUGAACCAAUCGAUGUCAGCUUUAGUCCAAAGUAAGGGGAACAUCAUAAUGCGGUGGGAGGAGUCAUUUGGUGGGUUUUCAGUGAAAUCCAAUCUCUAGAACUAUGCAAUACACUAACCACUCCAUUUCAAAACAAACUUUGCACGAACCUGUAUUAUCCAAUUUCAUGGACCAGUUGAUAUCGGAUUGAGUCCAAAACUUAGGGAACAUCACAAUGUGGUGGGAGGACUCAUUUGGUGAGUUUUGAGUGAAAUCCAAUGGCCGAAACUAUGCAAUACACGAACUACUCCAUUUCAAAACGAACGUCAUAUGAACCUGAAUUGUCCGAUUUCAUGGACCAAUCGAUAUCGGAUUGAGUCCAAAACUUAGGGAACAUCAUAAUAUGGUAGGAGGAGUAAUUGGCAAGUUUUGAGAGAAAUCCAAUCGCUAAAACAAUGCAAUACACCAACCACUCCAGUUGAGAAUGAACUUCGUAUGAACCUGAAUUGUCCGAUUUCUUGGUUCAAUCGAUAUCGGAUUGAGCCCAAAACUUGGUCAACAUCAUAAUAUCGUGGGAGGAGUCAUUUGUUGAGUUUUGAGUGAAAUCCAAUAGCUAAAACUAUUCAAUACACCAACCAUCCAUUUCAGAACGAAGUAUGUACGAACCUGAAUUGUUCGAUUUCAAGGACCAAUCGAUAUCAGAUUGAGUCCAAAACUUGGGGAACAACGUAAUGUUGGGGGAGGAGUCAUGUGGCGAGUUUUGAGUGAAAUCCAAUUUCCAAAACUAUGCAAUACACCAACCACUCGAUUUCAAAACGAACUUCAUACGAACCAGAAUUGCUCGAUUUCAUGGUCCAAUCGAUUCGGAUUGAAUCCAAAACUUGGGGAACAUCAAAAUGCUGUGGGUGGAGUCAUUUGGUGAGUUUUGUGUGAAAUCCAUUCUCUAUAACUAUACAAUACAUCAACCACUCCUUUUCAUAACGAACUUCGUACGAACCUGAAUUGUCCGAUUUCAUGGACCAAUCGAUAUCGGAUUGAGUCCAAAACUUGGGGAACAUCAUAAUAUGGUGGGAGGAGUCAUUUGGUGAGCUUUGAGUGAAAGCCAAUGACUAAAACUAUGCAAUACACCAACCAGUACAUUUCAUAACAAACUUCGUGCGAACCUGAAUUGUUCAAUUUCAUGGACCAAUCGAUAUAGGAUUGAGCCCAAAACUUAGGGAACAUCAUAAUAUGGUAGGAGGAGUCAUUUCGUGAGUUUUAAGAAAAAUGCACUGGCUAAAACUAUGCAAUACACCAACCACUCAAUUUCAGAACGAACUUCGUACGAACUUGAAUUGUUCGAUUUCAUGGACCAAUUGAUAUCGGAUUGAGUCCAAAACUUGGGGAUCAUCAUAAUAUUGUGGGAGGAGUCAUUUGGUGAUUUUUGAGUUAAAUCCAGUCUCUAGAACUAUAAAAUACCCCAACCACUCCAUUUCUGAAUGAUAACUCAUAUAUUUAUACAUUUAUACCAUCCAUUUCUAGUAUAUUUGUGAUGCUUUUGAGUUAAACUUGUUGCGUUUUAUCCUAUUUUGUGUUAGUAUGCAGUUGAAUAUAUUUUAGGAUCAAGUUGAAGGCAAAAGAUGAAAACAUGCCAUUUUUGGAGCUGACCCAUAUUCAAACGUGGAAACAAGUUUCGUGACCUGUUUUGAAGUCCAAAUAAAGAAUCCAAGGCGAACCUGGCUUGUUUGAAGACUAAGAGCAGAAUGGAAAAGAAAUGGGGAUUUCUAGCCUGAUUUGGAGGUGCCAAAUAAGGCAAAAACGUGCAAAAUAAAGGCUGAUUCUUUAGGAUAUCUUUGGAACAUCUGGCAGCCUUGUUUACCCCAUAAAAACUUGCCUUUUAGCCACUUUUAAAACCCCUAUUUAUUUUGGACGAAUUUCACAACCCUAGAUCUGACUUCUUGGUUAUUCUCUCCUCUCAUGCACACUAAAACCCUAGCCGUCCAUAUAUUUCCACCAUCAGGACUCAGCGCAAGAGGGGUUCUUGGAGAAGUUCAACAUCAGAAUUGGUUCAAGGGUUUCCUCUCAUGAAUUUAUUUUCACUCAUGUUGUUUAUUUUUGUUUUAACCUCUGUGAACAUGAUGUGUAACUAAAUUCAUAGCUAGGGAUUUCGAUGUAGCCUUGCAACAUUGAUCCAUGUUUCUAAGUUAAAGUAUUCAAUUCAUCAAUCUGCUUCUUGUUUCAUUCACUGAAUUUAUUGUUCAAUUUGUUUGUCAAUUUUAAUGUUUGAUCACCAUUAGGGUUGCCUACAGAUUAUCUGGACAAGGUUAUAGUAAACUUCAUGCUUAAUCUUUGUAGACUUGUGAAUGAAUGAAGAGAAUGCUAUGCAAACAUCAUGCCGUGUGUUCUCUUUGGUUCUUUAAUGUUUUCUUGCAUGCUAAUGACUCUUAACUUGGAACCAAAGUUGAACAUCCCAACUAGGUUGCAGAUUAGGAGAAUUUGAUCAAAACCACACAUCAUAUGGCUGAUCAUAUAUAUGUGAAACGAACUCUGGAAACAGGUUGGUAGUUGAGUACGGUUUAAUUUUAUAAACAUGGAAUUAGUUUUGCAAUGGUGAAUUCGAAAUCCCUAGUCUCAUCCCUAUUCUUCUACAUCAAUAUAUUAUUCACUACUACAUUCUUCUUGCAUUUUAAGUUAUUUUUCAUUUACAACACAAAAACUACUUCCAAAUUGUCACUUUCAUUUUUAUCUAGGGUUCUUUCAAAACUAGUAAUUUAUAGAGGUCCAAUCGGUCCCUGUGGUUCGACACCCUUACUUGUACCAUUAUACUAACCAUAUAUUGGCACUUGGAAGGAACACAACACUGAACGAACUUCGUACGAACCUGAAUUGUUCGAUUUCAUGGACCAAUCAAUAUCUGAGUGAGUCCAAAACUUGGGGGACAUCAUAAUGUUGUGGGAGGAGUCAUUUGGUGGGUUUUGAGUGAAAUCCAUUCUCUAGAACUAUACAAUACACCAACCACUCCAUUUCAUAACGAACUUGUACGAACCUGAUUUGUCCGAUAUCAUGUACCAAUCGAUAUCAGAUUCAGUCCAAAACUUGGGGAACAUCAUAAUAUUGUGGGAGGAGUCAUUUGGUGGUUUUUGAGUUAAAUCCAUUCUCUAGAACUAUAAAAUACCCCAACCACUUCAUUUCAGAAUGAACUUCGUACGAACCUGAAUUGUUCGAUUUCAUGGACCAAUCGAUAUCGGAUUGAGUCCAAAACUUGGGGAACAGCAUAAUGUUGUGGGAGGAGUGAUUUGGUGGGUUUUGAGUGAAAUCCAAUGUCUAGAACUAUAGAAUACCCCAACCACUCCAUUUCAGAAUGAACUUCGUACGAACUUGAAUUGUCCGAUGUCAUGGACCAAUCGAUGUCGGAUUCAGUCCAAAAAUUGGGGAAUAUCAUAACAUUGUGGGAGUAGGCAUUUGGUGGGUUUUGAGUGAAAUCCAAUCCCUAGAACUAUACAAUACACCAACCACUCCAUUUCAGAACGAACUUCGCACAUACCUGAAUUCUCCAAUUUGAUGGACGAAUCAAUAUUGGAUUGAAUCCAAAACUCGGAGAACAUUGUAAUAUAGUGGGAGGAGUCAUUUGGUGGGUUUCGAUUUAAAUCCAAUCUCCAGAAGUAUGCAAUACAGCAACCACUCCAUUUUAGAACGAACUUCGUACGAACCUGAAUUGUCCGAUUUCAUGGACCAAUCAACAUCGGAUUGUGUCCAAAACUGGGUAACAUCAUAAUAUGGUGAAAGGAGUCAUUUGGUGAGUUUUGAGUGAAAUCCAAUCGCUCGAACUAUGCAAUACACCAACCACUCAAUUUCAUAACGAACUUCGUACGAACCUGAAUUGUCCGAUGUCAUGGACCAAUCAUUAUCGGAUUGAGUCCAAAACCUGGGGAACAUCGUAAUAUUGUGGGAGCAGUCAUUUGGUGGGUUUUGAAUGAAAUUCAAUCUCCAGAACUAUGCAAUACAGGAACCACUCCAUUUCAUAACGAACUUCGUACGAACCUGAAUUGUCCGAUUUCAUGGACCAAUCAAUAUCGGAUUGAGUCCAAAACUUGGGAUACAUCAUAAUAUGGUGGGAGGAGUCAUUUGGUGACUUUUUAGUGAAAUGCAAUGGCUAAAACUAUGCAAUACACCAACAACUCCAUUUCAUCACGAACUUCGUAUGAACCUGAAUUGUCCAAUUUCAUGGACCAAUCGAUAUCGGAUUGAGUCCCAAACUUGGGGAACAUCAUAAUAUAGUGGACGGAGUGAUAUGGUGAGUUUUGAGCGAAAUCCAAUGUCUAAAACUAUGCAAUACACCAACUACUCCAUUUUAGAACGAACUUCGUACGAACCUGAAUUGCCCGAUUUCUUCGACCAAUCGAUAUCGGAUUGAGUCCAAAACUUGGGGAACAUCAUAAUAUAGUGGACGGAGUGAUAUCGUGAGUUUUGAGCGAAAUUCAAUCUCCAGAACUAUGCAAUACAGGAACCACUCCAUUUCAUAACGAACUUCGUACGAACCUGAAUUGUCCGAUUUCAUGGACCAAUCGAUAUCGGAUUGAGUCCAAAACCAGGGGAACAUCAUAAUAUUGUGGGAGUAGUCAUUUGGUGGGUUUUGAGUGAAAUCCAAUCCCUAGAACUAUACAGUACACCAACCACUCCAUUUCAGAACGUACUUCGUACGUACCUGAAUUGUCCAAUUUCAUGGACCAAUUCAUAUCGGAUUGAAUCCAAAACUCGGAGAACACCGUAAUUAGUGGGAGGAGUCAUUUGGUAGGUUUUGAGUGAAAUUCAAUCUCCAGAACUAUGCAAUACAGGAACCACUCCAUUUCAUAACGAACUUCGUACGAACCUGAAUUGUCCGAUUUCAUGGACCAAUUGAUAUCGGAUUGAGUCCAAAACUUGGGGAACAUCAUAAUAUAGUGGGAGGACUCCUUCGGUGAGUUUUAACUAAAAUCCAAUAGCAAAAACUAUGAAAUACACCAACCAUGAAUAGUCCAAUUUCUUGGACCAAUCGAUAUUGGAUUGAGUCCAAAACUUGGGGAACACCAAAAUAUGGUGGGAGGAGUAAUUUGGUGAGUUUUGAGCGAAAUCCAAUGGCUAAAACUGUGCAAUACACCAACCACUCCAUUUUAUAACUAACUUCGUGCGAACCUAAAUUUUCCAAUUUCAUAGACCAAUCGAUAUCGGAUUGAGUCCAAAACCUGGGGAACAUCACAAUGUUGUGGGAGGAGUCAUUUGGUGAGUUUGGAGUGAAAUCCAAUUUCCAAAACUAUGCAAUACAUCAACCACUCCAUUUCAGAACGAGCUUCGUACGAACCUGAAUUGUCCGAUUUCAUGGACCAAUCGAUAUCGAAUUGAGUCCAAAACUUGGGGAACAUCAUAAUAUGGUGGGAGGAGUCAUUUUGUGAGUUUGAGAGAAAUCCAAUGUCCUAAAACUAUGCAAUACACCAACCACUCCAUUUCAGAACAAACUUCGUACGAAGGUGAAUUGUCCGAUUUCAGGGACCUAUCGAUAUCGGAUUGAGUCCAAAACUUCGGGAACAUCAUAAUAUGGUGGGAGGAGUCAUUUGGUGAGUUUGGAGUGAAAUCCAAUUUCCAAAACUAUGCAAUACACCAACCACUCCAUUUCAGAACAAACUUCUUACGAACCUGAAUUUUCCGAUUUCAUGGACCAAUCGAUAUCGGAUUGAGUCCAAAACUUGGGGAACAUCAUUAUAUGGUGGGAAGAGUCAUUUGGUGAGUUUUGAGUGAAAUCCAAUGGCUAAAACUAUGCAAUACAUCAACCACUCCAUUUUAUAACUAACUUCGUACGAACCUGAAUUGUCCAAUUUUGUGGACCAAUCGAUAUCGGAUUGGGUUCAAAACCUAGGGAACAUCAUAAUAUGGUGGGAGGAGUCAUUUGGUGAGUUUUGAGCAAAAUCCAAUUGCCAAAACUAUACAAUACACCAACCAUUCCAUUUUAGAAUGAACUUCGUUCGAAACUGAAUUGUCCAAUUUCAUGGACCAAUUGACAUCGAUUGAGUCCAAAACUUGGGGAACAUGAUAAUGUUGUGAGAGGAGUCAUUUGGUGAUUCUGGGUGAAAUCCGAUCCCUCGAACUAUAUAAUACACCAACCACUCCAUUUUAGAACGAACUUCAUAUGAACUUAAAUUGUCCAACUUCAUGGACCAAUCGAUAUCGGAUUGAGUGCAAAACUUGGGGAACAUCGUAAUGUUGGGGGAGGAGUCAUUUUGUGAGUUUUGAGUGAAAUCCAAUCCCUAGAACUAUACAAUACACCAACCACUCCAUUUCAGAAUGAACUUCGAACGACACAUAAUUAUCCAAUUUCAUGGACCAAUCGAUAUCGAAUUAAGUCUAAAACUUGGGGAACAUCAUAAUAUGGUGGGAGGAGCCAUUUGGUGUGUUUUGAGUGAAAUCCAAUGGCUAAAACUAUGCAAUACACCAACCACUCCAUUUUAUAACAAACUUCGUACGAACCUGAAUUGUCCAAUUUCACGAACCAGUCGAUAUCGGAUUGAGUCCAAAACAUGGGGAACACCAUAAUAUAGUGGGAGAAGUCAUUUGGUGGGUUUUUAGCGAAAUCCAAUUGCCAAAACUAUGAAAUACACUAACCACUCCAAUAGAGAACGAACAUCGUACGAACAUGAAUAGUCCACUUUCUUGGACCAAUCGGUAUUGGAUUGAGCCCAAAACGUGGGGAACAUCAUAGUAUGGUGGGAGGAGUCAUAUGGUGAGUUUUGAGCGAAAUCCAAUGGCUAAAACUAUGCAAUACACCAACCACUCUUUUUCAUAACGAACUUUGAACGAACCUGAAUUGAACAAUUUCAUGUUCCAAUCGAUGUCGGAUUGAGUCCAAAACUUGGAGAACAUCAUAAUACGGUGGGCGGUAUCAUUUUGUGGUUUUUGAGUAAAGUACAAUCUCUAGAACUGGGCAAUACGCCAACCACUCCAUUUCAUAACGAACUUUGUACGAAACUGAAUUAUCCGAUUUCAAGGACCAAUCGAUAUCGGAUUGAGUCCAAAACUUGGGGAACAUCAUCAUAUGGUGGGAGGAUUCAUUUGGAGAGUUAUGAGUGAAUUCCAAUGGCUAAAACUAUGCAAUACACCGACCACUCCAUUUCAUCACGAACUUCGUACGAGCCUGAAUUGUCCAAUUUCAUGGACCAAUCGAUAUCGGACUGAGUCCAAAACUUGGGGAACAUCAUAAUAUGGUGGGAGGAGUCAUUUGGUGGGUUUUGAGUGAAAUCCAAUCUGUAGAACUAUGCAAUACACCAACCACUCCAUUUCAGAACGAACUUCGUACGAACCUGAAUUGUCCGAUUUCAUGGACCAAUCGAUAUCGGAUUGAGUCCAAAACUUGGGGAACAUCAUAAUAUGGUGG